GAUGAACGCUGGCGGCGUGCUUAACACAUGCAAGUCGAACGGAAAGACCCUGCUUUUGUGGGUUUCUCGAGUGGCGAACGGGUGAGUAACACGUGAGUAACCUGCCCUUGACUUUGGGAUAACUUCUGGAAACUCGGGCUCUUACAGGAUAGGAGCUCCUGCAGCAUGGUGGGGGUUGGAAAGUUUCGGCGGUUGGGUAUGGACUAGCGGCUUGUCAGCUUGUUGGUGGGGUAGGGGCUUACCAAGGCUGUGAGGGGUACCACGCCUGAGAGGGUGCACGGUCAAAUUGGGACUGGGAGACGGCCGAGAGGCAUAUGGGAGGAAGGAGGGGGGAAUAUUGCACAAAGGGCGGAAGCGUGAAGAAGCAACUCCGCUUGCGGGAUGACGUUCUUCGGGUUGUAAACCGCUUUCGCUUGUGACGAAGCGUGAGUGACGGUAAUGGGUAAAGAAGAACCGGAUAACUACG
Molecule: ribosomal RNA, 466 nt
Filed under: uncultured bacterium
Lineage: Bacteria
Description: partial 16S ribosomal RNA
Rfam family: Bacterial small subunit ribosomal RNA
Source: RNAcentral